Orcinus orca (killer whale) is the source of this 695-nucleotide long non-coding RNA. RefSeq lists it as uncharacterized. The transcript is spliced from 2 exons. Lineage: Eukaryota; Metazoa; Chordata; Mammalia; Artiodactyla; Delphinidae. The record is from RefSeq and is a predicted model, not a curated record.
GGCUCCUGUUAGGACCUCCUAAACGGCAAUGACAGUUUUUAAAGGGUCCGAGAGGUGCCAAGGAUUAAUUGGGGCAUCCGUACUCCCCAGAGAAAUGGAAAGAAAAAAAAAAAAAAGGCAAAGGGCAUGUUGAGAACGCAACGCUUAAAGUUACAGAGAUCUUUACCCACUCACCCCCUUCCACCCUCUAAAUUCUCUUCCCACAGAUAGUUCCUGUUCCUCCAAGUUAGUUGCUCGUAAAGAUGUUUUGGCACCUUAAAGCUCGGAACUGUUCGGCGUCGCAGUCCGAGCCCUUCAGCUGACAGCCCAAAAACCUGCCGGGGAGAAAUAGGCCUGUGAAACGCCCACGGAGCCACGGCGGCCACACUGCGCAUGCGUCGGCGACGGGCCCGGGUUUGAGCGCAAUUAAUCUCAGUCCUCAGCUGCACCGGUUGGGCUAAGCUUUGGGACCCUUAGUGGAACAUGACCCCCAGAACUCUAGUGCUGGCUGAGCAGCGCAUUCUCAUUUCUUAAAUUUUGGGGGGGAGGCUCCUAACUUCCCCUUUUACUUCCACUGCCCCUCAAAACCAAAAAUAGUGUUUAAAUUAUUUAUCGCAAAAUAUUGCCACAUUGAACUCUUGCUGCUCUCUGUAAAUGUGGUCCUGGGUCACCGUUUAGAGAUAUAUUCUUUUAAAUUUUGAAAAUAAAAUAUGAAA